Molecule: long non-coding RNA, 748 nt
Filed under: Mus caroli (Ryukyu mouse)
Lineage: Eukaryota; Metazoa; Chordata; Mammalia; Rodentia; Muridae
Description: lncRNA (MGP_CAROLIEiJ_G0005009.1)
Source: RNAcentral
UUUUGAGAGAGGACUUUGGACUAGAAGAUAUGUCUGAGAAUAAGGACAAUAAAGUAGACACAAAUGGUGCCUCUGAUUGACCAUCCUGCUUGUUAACAUCUUUCACCACACAGCAAUGAACAUGGAGAAAGGAAGAAGGAGCAGAUGGUUUGGUCUGUGGAGAAAGUAGUUACCCAUUUUUCCCCUUCAUUGCUUUCUGAUCUCUCUUGUCUGCCACACCUGGCACAGGUGAAGAGAAAGAAGCCUUAGCAAGCUACCAAGAAGGUAGAGGAAGACUUUAUCCUCAGACAGCCUGUGAGCCCCGUGGCCUAUAGUAACUCUGGAAUAGAGGGUAGGUGCUCACUGAGGCUGGAGUGAGAGGGGGUACAGACUGUUAUUGGCUAGCAGUCUGUAGGAGGGUAGGCCCUGAGCCGUCACUAUGCAAGUGGCCUCUGGAGUGGGACUCUAAGGUCCUGAGUCAUUAGAAGUCUCGUCUUCAGGGAGGUACUGGCCUGAUGCUCCUCACACCUGACCUAAGGAGUCUUCCAUUCAACAGCUCCAUGUGAAUGGCCUUCAGAGCCCCACCGUCCAGGAAGGAGCCCAUUGAAAAGAAGCAAAAUGAAAUGGCAAGGACACUGAAUGGCUGAGUGGCAAUGCCAAGGUUUUGGCUGAAGUCUGUCUGGUUCUAAACCCUUUGAAAUCCAGCUCUGCAAAGCAGGGCACUGUUGGAACUAUUAAGACUUUUUAUAAGAAGGUAGGUAAUAGGGCG